UCGAAUAGACACCCGACCAUCGUACCAC
RNAcentral lists this small RNA (28 nucleotides) under Bombyx mori (domestic silkworm). RNAcentral describes it as "ovarian small RNA-28242". The record is from RNAcentral. Lineage: Eukaryota; Metazoa; Arthropoda; Insecta; Lepidoptera; Bombycidae.